RNAcentral lists this ribosomal RNA (1029 nucleotides) under Frigoribacterium sp. 736H86. Its description in RNAcentral is "bacterial SSU rRNA". It matches the Rfam family "Bacterial small subunit ribosomal RNA", at positions 56 to 1096 of the family's 1533-position model. Lineage: Bacteria; Bacillati; Actinomycetota; Actinomycetes; Micrococcales; Microbacteriaceae. The record is from RNAcentral.
UGCAAGUCGAACGGUGAAAGAGGAGCUUGCUCCUCUGGAUCAGUGGCGAACGGGCGAUUAACACGUGAGUAACCUGCCCUUGACUCUGGGAUAAGCACUGGAAACGGUGUCUAAUACCGGAUACGAGCUUCAGCCGCAUGGCUAGGAGCUGGAAAGAAUUUCGGUCAAGGAUGGACUCGCGGCCUAUCAGCUAGUUGGUGAGGUAAUGGCUCACCAAGGCGACGACGGGUAGCCGGCCUGAGAGGGUGACCGGCCACACUGGGACUGAGACACGGCCCAGACUCCUACGGGAGGCAGCAGUGGGGAAUAUUGCACAAUGGGCGCAAGCCUGAUGCAGCAACGCCGCGUGAGGGACGACGGCCUUCGGGUUGUAAACCUCUUUUAGUAGGGAAGAAGCGAAAGUGACGGUACCUGCAGAAAAAGCACCGGCUAACUACGUGCCAGCAGCCGCGGUAAUACGUAGGGUGCAAGCGUUAUCCGGAAUUAUUGGGCGUAAAGAGCUCGUAGGCGGUUUGUCGCGUCUGCUGUGAAAACUGGAGGCUCAACCUCCAGCCUGCAGUGGGUACGGGCAGACUAGAGUGCGGUAGGGGAGAUUGGAAUUCCUGGUGUAGCGGUGGAAUGCGCAGAUAUCAGGAGGAACACCGAUGGCGAAGGCAGAUCUCUGGGCCGUAACUGACGCUGAGGAGCGAAAGCAUGGGGAGCGAACAGGAUUAGAUACCCUGGUAGUCCAUGCCGUAAACGUUGGGAACUAGAUGUAGGGGCCAUUCCACGGCUUCUGUGUCGCAGCUAACGCAUUAAGUUCCCCGCCUGGGGAGUACGGCCGCAAGGCUAAAACUCAAAGGAAUUGACGGGGGCCCGCACAAGCGGCGGAGCAUGCGGAUUAAUUCGAUGCAACGCGAAGAACCUUACCAAGGCUUGACAUAUACCGGAAAAGUUCAGAAAUGUUCUCCCCGCAAGGCCGGUAUACAGGUGGUGCAUGGUUGUCGUCAGCUCGUGUCGUGAGAUGUUGGGGUUAAGUCCCGCAACGAG